RNAcentral lists this ribosomal RNA (492 nucleotides) under uncultured bacterium. RNAcentral describes it as "partial 16S ribosomal RNA". It matches the Rfam family "Bacterial small subunit ribosomal RNA", at positions 29 to 507 of the family's 1533-position model. The record is from RNAcentral.
AGUGAACGCUGGCGGUAGGCCUAACACAUGCAAGUCGAACGGCAGCACAGUAAGAGCUUGCUCUUACGGGUGGCGAGUGGCGGACGGGUGAGGAAUACAUCGGAAUCUACUUUUUCGUGGGGGAUAACGUAGGGAAACUUACGCUAAUACCGCAUACGACCUACGGGUGAAAGCAGGGGAUCUUCGGACCUUGCGCGAUUGAAUGAGCCGAUGUCGGAUUAGCUAGUUGGCGGGGUAAAGGCCCACCAAGGCGACGCUCCGUAGCUGGUCUGAGAGGAUGAUCAGCCCCCCUGGAACCGGAACACGGUCCAGACUCCUAAGGGAAGCAGCAGGGGGGAAUAUUGGACAAUGGGCGGAAACCUUGUCCAACCAAACCGGGGUGGGUGAGAAGGGCUUCGGGGUGUUAAGCCCCUUUGUUGGGAAAGAAAAGCAGCAGGUUAAUACCCCGCUGUUCUGACGGUACCCAAAGAGUAAGCACCGGCUAACUUCGUG